CUUUGUAUGCUAUUAUUAAUUGCAAUUUGUAACAAGGGAAAUUCAAACUGCAGACCUAACUCUUUAACCGGCUUAUUUAUUAAACAGAGAAUUGUGGUAAAUGAUAAACUGAAUUCCAAUAUUAAGGCUUAACUAGCUAAGUUUUCACUUUAGCUAAACUAGAGGAUUUCUCCAAAUCAGCACUUUUUUCCUAUAUUUUGCAAUCCAGUUUUCAGUUCCCUAUAAGUCACUGUUUAGUGCAGGCUUCCCCAAACUCCGGCCCUCCAGAUGUUGCUGAACUACAACUCCCAU
Molecule: non-coding RNA, 291 nt
Organism: Pelobates cultripes (western spadefoot toad)
Lineage: Eukaryota; Metazoa; Chordata; Amphibia; Anura; Pelobatidae
Source: the annotation of a GenBank genome assembly